CACUUACAAAAAAUAUUUAUUGAUAAUAAAGAAAAUUAAAAGAUUCGAUUCUCAAGUUUCUUUUCACUGUCAUCGAGUACAUAUUGUUUAUAUUACUUUUAUAAAAUUUCACACAUUGUUGAACACACUAAUCCAUUCCUGGAGUUACAUGGGGGGGGGGGAUUCUUACACUUUUCUGCAAAAAUAGGUGGGUUUCACUGCAAUUGAAACUUGAAAGAUAUGUUUUAACUCAUUAUGAUGCGAAUUUGUUUGCGCGAAUAGUAAAAAAGUAGGAACUGAUCCAAUUUUUUUUUUCGUGGCAAAUUUUUUCGAUUGCCAAGAUUUGUUUUUCGCUUUGCA
Paramuricea clavata is the source of this 339-nucleotide non-coding RNA. Lineage: Eukaryota; Metazoa; Cnidaria; Anthozoa; Malacalcyonacea; Plexauridae. The record is from the annotation of a GenBank genome assembly.